Molecule: long non-coding RNA, 392 nt
Filed under: Urocitellus parryii (Arctic ground squirrel)
Lineage: Eukaryota; Metazoa; Chordata; Mammalia; Rodentia; Sciuridae
Description: lncRNA (ENSUPAG00010004802.1)
Source: RNAcentral
AGUUUAUCCUGGCUUCAGAGAAUCCCAGAAUGAUGACACAUGUGGGAGUUAGUUAUAUUUCUGACUCUGGAACAGUUUUAAAACAUUGGAUAUGAAAGUCUCAGGGACUUUCCAAGGGAUGCCUAGUUGGUGACAGGAGGAAAAAAUAGUACAGUUCACUCACAGCUGAGCCUUUACCAUUCCUAUGCUGUCCCAGGAGCCUCAGAAAAUGAAUACAUCUCAAGGUUCUGCUUUACCAAACCAGAACUGAUCUUCACAUUGGAACAAGGAGAAGACCCGUGGUCAUUAGAGAAAGAGAAAGGGUUCCUAAACUGGAGCUCCCCGGGUGAGUAACCGAAUACUGGCAGAAAACUCACUGAGUAGCUAGGAGGACGCUUACCACUCAGCAUAUG